Molecule: long non-coding RNA, 905 nt
Organism: Triticum dicoccoides
Lineage: Eukaryota; Viridiplantae; Streptophyta; Magnoliopsida; Poales; Poaceae
Exons: 2
Source: RefSeq, a predicted model, not a curated record
UCCAGUCGCUGCCUUCCGUCCCCUCCUAGCUCCUUCUCUCGGCUCCGAGUCCACACUGGGGCAAGUACCGAUGCCGCGACGUCCAGGCCGACCCACACCGUGCGGUGGUGUGCGCCUGGAUUUCGGGAGGCCGCACCGACUCGUCCCCGGGGAGCUGCGUCGUGGUGGGCGUUGCCACCGAACGCGAAGGGAAGCGAUGACUCCACUGCCCGAGCGGCGGGGGACGGCUGGAUAUGGCGCUAGCGAGAUGGUUCGUUGAGCCGCGGCAGAGGCAGCUGUCGCUGGUUAGGAAGGCAGCAACACAGCCACGGUUCAGGCCGCCCAUCUCUGUCCGAUGCUGCCGCGCUGAGGCACCAAGCGAGCUGCAUCGAGUCGGCACUCUACAGGCGCCUGGCUGAGGCGGCUCCGUUGUGCUGGGAUGCUGUCGUCCCUUCUUCAAUGGCGUUCGUCGCAGACGGCGUCCUCACCCCCAGCUUGUCCCUCGAGGCGUCGACCCAGCGGGAUGUCAGUUGGUUGCCUCACCGUUUCGAGUUCACUGUGUUUUAUUUCUGAUUUUUUGCGGGUUUUUAUUUCAGAAUUUUUUAGACAGUAUUUGGUUGUAUACGUGCAGGCAACAACUAUUGCAUGUUCUCGUCGCUGGAGAUCGGCUACUCAGGAGCAUGGGUAGGGUCAAUGUGGUGGUAGAUAUGGCGUCUCUGACGUCGGCGUUGUUCUCCGCUGGAGAAUAUCUUUUUUGAAGGCUCCGCCCCAAAAUAUCUGGGACAUGUUGUAGAUUGAAUAUCUGGGAUAUAUGCUACAAUAUUAUCCGGAGUUAUCUGUAAAGCUUUUUUUUUACCUGAUCUGUAAAGUGUUGUAGUCUUUCUUUCAUUUGUAUAAUAAUAAAGUGUUGUGUUGUCGUGUGUUUA